GGGCUCCGGAUAAACGUCGGACGGCGUGCCUAAAACAUGCAAGUCGAGCGGUAAGGUCCCUCCCGACUUCUAGGAUAUUUUUGCGAGAAAUAGGGUGGGGUACACGAGCGGCGGACGGGUGAGUAACGCGUAGGAACGUACCCCAAAGUGAGGAAUAAGCUCCGGAAACGGAGUCUAAUACCGCAUACACUCUUAUGAGUACAGGAGUAAUCCGCUUUGGGAGCGGCCUGCGUCCGAUUAGUUCGUUGGUGAGGUAAUAGCUUACCAAGACUAUGAUCGGUAGCUGGUUUGAGAGGAUGAUCAGCCACACUGGGACUGAGACACGGCCCAGACUCCUACGGGAGGCAGCAGUUAGGAAUUUUCCACAAUGGGGGCAACCCUGAUGGAGCAACGCCGCGUGCAGGAAGACGGGCUUCGGGUUGUAAACUGCUUUUAAGAGUGAAGAUUAUGACGGUAACUUUAGAAUAAGGAUCGGCUAACUCCGUGCCAGCAGCCGCGGUCAAACGGAGGAUCCAAGCGUUAUCCGGAAUUACUGGGCGUAAAGAGUUGCGUAGGUGGCAAGGUAAGCGAAGUAUGAAAGCUUGUGGCUCAACCAUAAGACUAUGCUUUGAACUACCUAGCUAGAGUGCGGGAGAGGUAGAUGGAAUUUCUAGUGUAGGAGUGAAAUCCGUAGAUAUUAGAAGGAACACCGAUGGCGUAGGCAGUCUACUGGCCCGUUACUGACACUAAGGCACGAAAGCGUGGGGAGCGAACGGGAUUAGAUACCCCGGUAGUCCACGCCGUAAACUAUGGAUGCUAGCUGUUAAGAGUAUCGACCCUUUUAGUAGCGAAGCUAACGCGUUAAGCAUCCCGCCUGAGGAGUACGGUCGCAAGGCUAAAACUCAAAGGAAUUGACGGGGACCCGCACAAGCGGUGGAGCGUGUUGUUUAAUUCGACGGUAAGCGAAGAACCUUACCAAGGUUUGACAUCCCGCGAAGAACUCCGAAAGGAGUUUGUGCCCCUCAGCUUUUUGACGUCCGCUUAAGGCGGAUGAAUGUAAUUAUUAUUCGUAGUGAUACUGGGUAAUGCUUGCAUGACGUAAGGUCAAAAGGUUGAGGGGGAACACGGUGACAGGUGAUGCAUGGCCGUCGUCAGCUCGUGUCGUGAGAUGUUUGGUUAAGUCCAUCAACGAGCGCAACCCUUAUAGUUAGUUGAAUUUUUCUAGCUAGACUGCCCCGGUAACGGGGAGGAAGGAGGGGACGAUGUCAGGUCAUUAUUUCCCUUACACCUUGGGAUACAAACACGCUACAAUGGCCGGUACAAAGGGCCGCUAAGUCGCAAGACAGAGCAAAUCCCAUCAAAGCCGGUCUCAGUUCGGAUUGCAGGCUGAAGCUCGCACUGCAUGAAGCUGGAAUCGCUAGUAACGAUAG
RNAcentral lists this ribosomal RNA (1409 nucleotides) under uncultured bacterium. Its description in RNAcentral is "bacterial SSU rRNA". It matches the Rfam family "Bacterial small subunit ribosomal RNA", at positions 20 to 1347 of the family's 1533-position model. The record is from RNAcentral.